CCCUUAGAUGUUCUGGGCCGCACGCGCGCUACACUGACGAAUGCAACGAGCUUAUAACCUUGGCCGAAAGGUCUGGAUAAUCUCCAAAUUUCGUCGUGAUGGGGAUAGAUUAUUGCAAUUAUUAAUCUUCAACGAGGAAUGCCUAGUAAGCGCAAGUCAUCAGCUUGCGUUGAUUACGUCCCUGCCCUUUGUACACACCGCCCGUCGCUCCUACCGAUUGAAUGGUCCGGUGAAGCGUUCGGACCGUGGCCUUUGGACGGUUCGCCGUCUGUUGGCUGCGGGAAGUUCGUUAAACCUUAUCAUUUAGAGGAAGGAGAAGUCGUANCA
This 327-nucleotide ribosomal RNA is filed under the name uncultured eukaryote. RNAcentral describes it as "partial 18S ribosomal RNA". It matches the Rfam family "Eukaryotic small subunit ribosomal RNA", at positions 1470 to 1796 of the family's 1831-position model. The record is from RNAcentral.